Molecule: ribosomal RNA, 627 nt
Filed under: Theileria annulata
Lineage: Eukaryota; Apicomplexa; Aconoidasida; Piroplasmida; Theileriidae
Description: SSU rRNA
Rfam family: Eukaryotic small subunit ribosomal RNA
Source: RNAcentral
AGGUAGUGACAAGAAAUAACAAUACGGGGCUUAAAGUCUUGUAAUUGGAAUGAUGGGAAUUUAAACCUCUUCCAGAGUAUCAAUUGGAGGGCAAGUCUGGUGCCAGCAGCCGCGGUAAUUCCAGCUCCAAUAGCGUAUAUUAAAAUUGUUGCAGUUAAAAAGCUCGUAGUUGAAUUUCUGCUGCAUUGCUUGUGUCCCUCUGGGGUCUGUGCAUGUGGCUUUUUUCGGACGGAGUUUCUUUGUCUGAAUGUUUACUUUGAGAAAAUUAGAGUGCUCAAAGCAGGCUUUCGCCUUGAAUAGUUUAGCAUGGAAUAAUAAAGUAGGACUUUGGUUCUAUUUUGUUGGUUUUAGGUACCAAAGUAAUGGUUAAUAGGAACAGUUGGGGGCAUUCGUAUUUAACUGUCAGAGGUGAAAUUCUUAGAUUUGUUAAAGACGAACUACUGCGAAAGCAUUUGCCAAGGAUGUUUUCAUUAAUCAAGAACGAAAGUUAGGGGAUCGAAGACGAUCAGAUACCGUCGUAGUCCUAACCAUAAACUAUGCCGACUAGAGAUUGGAGGUCGUCAGUUUUUACGACUCCUUCAGCACCUUGAGAGAAAUCAAAGUCUUUGGGUUCUGGGGGGAGUAUGG